This 30-nucleotide non-coding RNA is filed under the name Mus musculus (house mouse). Lineage: Eukaryota; Metazoa; Chordata; Mammalia; Rodentia; Muridae. The record is from RNAcentral.
UCCAGAGUACAAACCCUACUGACCCCAGAU